UACAUCUGUUAAUGGUUGGUUUACUCUGAAUUCACAUGGAGUGGAGUGGAGUGGAGCCGAGCCUGCCUCAACGACACUGAACUACAGCCAUGGGAUGAUGGGAGCGUGCCUCAACGAGGAGAGCAAUAGUGAGGAGAGCUAUACAUCCUAGCAAGUGGCUGAUUGGAGUUGCACUGCUGCAGCGAAGAAAAUACUGUCAUGUAGGAUUAUAUUUUGCAGUCGCAUUUCUUUAUGUUUUUCCUCUAAUAUGCAAGGAGGUAUCAGCAGCACCAUAUGGAAUUCAAAGAGGGGCUCAACAAUAUUUGGGGUCUCGGAUAGCUCUCUGGCUUGACAGGCACUCAGGUAAUUAUUUGAUUGUUUUAAGAUCAUUUUGCAACAGUUGAUUGAUAUUGCUAAAAUAUUAUUCUAUUGGUUCAAGUCUUUAAAGACAUACUGGAGUUAACACUAUUCUAUGUAAUAUUUUUGUGAUACCUCAUUUUUCUCACCUUUUUCCUUUUCUUCUUUAGAUUUGUGGAUAUUUCUGUCAAAUUUUUACUUGUCUUAGUGAUGUUCUGUUCUUCUUCUUGAUAUAUUUGUUAAAUUACAUAAUCCUUUAGUUAAAAGGAAAUAGCAAGUCUUUGUAAACAUUGCCUGAUUUCAGUUUCUUCUCACUUGGUCAUGAAGCCACCAAGUGCAGAACAGAGGAUAGCAUGCAUGAUUGUAGGUUUAUUUAACAUUUUGUUGACCACAUGUUCAGAAUCAUAUUAGAAAGAUUGGUUGUAACUGAUCCAUAUCUAUUGGUUUCUUUUGUCCGCUAAUGCAAUCAAGCUAUAUAUGUGUAUUUCAUAUCCUCUGCAAGCAUUAGGUAUGAAUAAAAUCAUUCAACAUUGUUUCAACCAAAUAAAACUAUAGCAAACAAGGAAUUGACACUCCUCAACUUACUGAAAUGGGGCAAACCAAUGAUGAAAUUAAAAUACAUUUUGCCUCGCUUAUUAUCUUUAUUUAUUUACAAAACAGUAUAUGAACUCCAUUCUGUAUAGAGACAAUAAUACUGACUGUAAAACUAUUUUUACGUAGCCUUGUAUCUUUCUAGUAUUCAGAGGCAGCAGUUCCAAAAACGCCUUUUCGAUCAAAUCCUGGUGCUCAGGAGGAUUCAUGCUGAAGUAGCGGUACUGUUGAUGUCUAUAUUUCUUGCCAAAAUUAUCUCCAUCAUAGAAUCCCUAAAGUCCUUGUAGGGAUUGAAUGAAUGCUCAAGUAAGGCUACGCAUAAUUUAUUUGUAAUUCAAGACUUAGAGACCUUGUAAUAGUAGUGACUCCAUCAGGCAGAAUAGUAACAGAGUUGACACUUAUGACUCCAUCAAGCAGAAUAGUAACAGAGUUGAUAAUAGGCAAAUGAAGCCAAACCAAGGACCGUAGUGACUCUACCUAUAGAUAUUCUCUUGAAGUCAAAUUGGGGCAGUUCACAAACACAUCAGAGCAUGUCGCGUCACCCCUUCCGGGUCGAAAACUAGCAGCAGAGCCUGUGAAGGUAGCAUACAUAGGAAGGAGAGGUAGAAGCUAGAGGGGCAGCAGGGGCCCUUCCUUCAUAUUAUUGCGAGAGAUUCACCCACACCAGUUUAUGAACCAUCUAUGUAAGUAGGUAGAACGGAGGGAUCUGAACUAGUAGGCCCUACUAUUCUAUAGGGUGGCGUUGGGUUGGAUGGCUUGAUUGAUUGGCAUAUAGAAAAGAGAGAGAGAGUCCACUUGGGCUAAUCAAUCGUUCGUACAGGAUUCUCACGUGGGUGGGUAUUUCGCAACAGGGGUAAUAAGGCUAUGGUCCAGUGUUUUACCUAACUUCUCAGUGGAGGGAAGCUGUUUUAUGCUGGACCUAUUCUAUUGUCUACGGGCAAGUGGAUAGAUGAAAGGGUACAAAAAAGGAAGGAAUGAAGUCACGUAAACCUAUGUUAGCAUAGGUCAGGCAUCCCUUGGCAGGGGAAGAGGACUAAUAAUGAGACUGUGGCAUACUUCUCCAGCCGCCCCUCGCACGGUAAAAGAGAAAGUCCCUAUAUAGAGGCGGUUGAUCACCCACCCAGUGAGAGCAACAGGGGGAAAGGCAGUUGAUCUUGAUUUAGAUCCAUCCAUUCCAUUCAUCGCAGAUCAAGAGCCAUCACCUCCAGUCUUCACGCCUAGAUCCAUAUCCAGUUGUUGUAGAUUGAGUUUCGAUUCGUUUCCCUGGUCGAGACCUAGAAGCAUCCAUAGCAAAGCAUGGGCAUAAGCAGCUAAUAGAGCAGAGAUAGAAGCAGCACAUGUUUAUUUUAUCGUUGACCAGUGUCACCUUCGAGUGACAGAUCCAAUUCCACGUGCAUAGUCCCCUGGCAAAGAUCCAAAUCCGGUGCCAGAAGCGGGUUAAGUGCAAAAUACAUAUACAUAUACAUAUCCUGUUCAAAUGAAGCCAAACCAAGGACCGUAGUGACUCUACCUAUAGAUAUUCUCUUGAAGUCAAAUUGGGGCAGUUCACAAACACAUCAACACAAAACGUUCACCUACUGUAACUUAUCAAUUAUAUUCCAAUAAUUAAGCCAUGGUUUGGCCCAAGUUAUUGGCCAAAAAGAUUAGACAACAAUUCCUCGAGGCCCCUUAAAAUAAUAUGUAGGACAUAGGGUAGUUAAAAUAAUCUAGAAAACGUACAAAUAAAAUGCCUUCUGGUCCAUUUAUAUUCACGAACACACCUGACUAUAUAUCAUUCAGAUUUAAAUAUGAAUGGAAUAUGUGUGGAGGCUCUGCUGUUACUCUAAAAAAUAUCCUUGAAUGUAGGUCACAGAUUCAUGCUUGUCUAGUGAUGUUUCCUACAAUGAAGAGAUUGUGAGUAUAAGGGCGUUGAAAAUGUUUUCAUUCCCUUCAACUUACCUUAUCCUGUAAAUACUAACAUACCUUUGUAUUAAUGUGUAGUUACAGUUUAAACUGAGUUUGCAAACUUAGCUAUAUGUAAUUAUAAUUUGUAUGUUAGCGUAUAUCAUUGUUCCUUGGGGACUUGUCAUUUAUGUGUCUUUACCAAAACAAAGGGAAAUCUUGAGGAACAAUUAAUUUUUGAAUAUUUGUAAUACAUAUAUGGGCUAUACAAUUAUGUAGUUGUAUACAACUACAUAUUGAAUGCAGUUUAUGAAUAAUAUUUUUUAAGCUUUUAAUGUAUAUAUGUAAGCAUAUGUCUGCACAAUUUACUUAAAUACAAUUGUAUAUCUACUUUUGUUUACCUAUAACUGUGAGUUUGUCAAUUUGCAUGCAAAGAAAUGUAUGUUUGUAGUGUUUGCAUACAUUCAUUUGUAUGUUAGCAGCUAUUCAAAUGCACCUCUUAUAUAAGUGGUUUAUUUAAUUAAAAGUUUAGUAACUCAUAUUUGAAAAUUGAAAUUGAAAGUUAUGUCCAUGCAAUUAUAUCUGUAAAUUUUGUAGGCAUACAACAAUAUUUGUAAAUUUAGCCCUUUCAAGUAGAACAAUAAUCAUGAACUUAGAAAAGUAGAUUCUGUUUUGAUGGAUUUAUGAUACUGACUAUGUGGUACUAUUUUAAUGGGGUUUAUGAUAUCGACAUAAACUGCAAACACAUUCAAUAUGUAGUUGUAUACAACCAUAUAAAUGCAUAUAUGUAUUACAAAUAUUAAAAAAUAAAUUAUUCCUGACAUUACAAAAUGUAUACAUGUGUUACAAAAUUUGCAGAUGUAACUGCAUGCACAUAAAUGUUGCAGACAUACAAUUUUAUAUAUACAAAAAUUGUACACAGACAAUUGCAUGGAUAUAAAAUUUGUAUACAUGCACUUACAUAACAAGUGACGUAAUAAACCAAAGUGUGUAUAAUUAGAGUGAUAAUUAGGAUUAAAAAAUGUACAAGUGUGAGGGCUUAUAAAUUAUAUUCUAUUCAUAUUCUACUGAUAAAUUUUGCACCAAUGUUAUUGAAAAAUGGGUUAUUAAACUUUUUAUUUAAAACUUUAGGAGGUGUCUCUGUAUAGCUGUUGACAUACACUUGCAUGUAUGCAAACUCUACAGACAUACAUUUCUUUGCAAGCAAAUUGGCAGACAUACAAUUAUAGGUAAACAAAAAGUAGAUUUACAAUUAUAUGUAAGUUGGUUUAUGGAUUAUGGAUGCAAUUUUUCCAGAACAAUGAGAAAGGUUGGUGGAACUCAAACUAAUGAUAUACCUAAACUUAUAUAAUCCAUUGUUGGUUUAUGAGUGCAUGUUUUAUUUAGUUUUCAAGAAGUCAAUGCAUAAAUAGAACAUAUAGAAAUGCAAAGUAUUGCAUUCAAUUCAUCUUUCAGCUAACAAAAAUUUUCUCAAAGCAUUUUCCUUCCCAUUCUAUGGUCGAACAGAAUAACCUGAUCAAUGCCAAUUAUAGAUACUGAUUGUGAUUUUUCAAGAAUUUUUUGUGAAUUGAUUUCUUUACAAGAGUACAACUGCUCAAUCAAUAUACAAAUAGAUCAACGCAUAUAAUAGUAAUACAUAAGACCGUUGCCAAACAAUCAUCCGGAUCCUUCCCUUACAGUUUUUUUCCCAAUAAUCAAUCCUAGCAACAUUCAUAAAAGAACCAAGGUCUAAAAUACAAUCUCCUAGAAUAUUCUUAUUCAAUAUGCAUAGUUUAUAUCUGAAAGUGCAAUAUGUCAACAUUCAAAUCCUUAUCCGAUAACAAUAUAUUUAAGCAUGACUGAGUAGUAACUGAGUUGAUUGUUGAUAAUAGGCAAAUGAAUCCAAACCAAGGACUGUUAGUGACCCUAUAUAUAGAUAUUGAUCUGUUGCCAAACAAUCAUUGGGAUCCUUCCCUUACAGUUUUUUUUCCCAAUAAUCAAUCCUAGCAACAUUCAUAAAAGAACCAAGGUCUAAAAUUCAAUCUCCUAGAAUAUUCUUAUUCAAUAUACAUAGUUUAUAUCUGAAACUGCAAUAUGUCAACAUUCAAAUCCUUAUCAGAUAACAAUAUAUUUAAGCAUGACUGAGUAGUAACUGAGUUGAUUGUUGAUAAUAGGCAAAUGAAUCCAAACCAAGGACUGUUAGUGACCCUAUAUAUAGAUAUUGGUGAAAAGUCAAUACAUAUCAGAACAUGGUAUCGACACAAAAUAUUCAUGUCCUGCAACUUAUUGUUUGAAUGUAAAUCUGUCUGAUCAUCCACUUAUUGUUUGAAUGUAACUUUGUUUGAUCAUAUAAAUCACGAUCUAUAUGAUUUCAGUGAAACAAGAGGCCAUUAUUCAGCCCAGUCAAUAUUGGUCGUACUUUAUCUGAGAUUUAAUUUGGAAACAAAUGAUUAAACUUUCUAUCUUGGCUUGGACUUUUCUGGACUGUUGAUAUCUUUUAUUGCUAAAUCUAUGUGGCACAAUUAAAAUGCUCUAAACUCGUAGCAAUAUCGUCAGAGUACUCACAUCAUUUUUUUAAUUACAUAUCCAGUGGUUGAGCACAUGUUCAGAAUUAUAUUAGAAAGAUUGGUUGUAAUUAAUCCAUAUCCAUUGGAUUGGAUUGUCUAGUCCGCUAAUGCAAUCAAGCUAUAUAUCUGUAUUUCAUAUCAUCUACAAGCAAUAGGUAUGAAUAAAAUCAUUUGACAUUGAUUCAACCAAAUAAAAUAAUAGAAAACAAGGAAUUGACACUCCUCAACUUAUUGAACUGGGGCAAACCAAUGAAGAAAUUGAUAUACAUUUAGCCUCACUUAUUAUCUUUGCUAGUCCCUCCCUUUUAAGGUCAAGACUAAUGUUUUCUCUUCACUUUUUGCAAUUAGUAUGCAGGUUGGAAACUGUGUCAUCGAAGAAGAAAUGCAGAUGCUGCAGUCUCAUUUUCAAAUUUUAUUUGGCUGGCUUUUCCUUUUUCCUGAUUGGAAGCUCAUAUUUUUUCCUAUGAUUUUUUAUUUUUCUAUUUGAAAAUAAAUGAAAACUAUGUGGCCCAAUCCCUUAAAAUUUUAGACAGUACACAAUGCUGGAUAGGAACUAUCAUGGUAAGCCUUUUGACUUUCUCCCACUAGAUCUAAGAUUCUAAAGCAUAUUAAGAAGUAAUUUUCUAAUUUUUGUCAAGUUUCCAAUUGGAAACUAAAGUCCAAUCCACCCCUACUAGAGGAUACAAAUCUUGUCAAUCAAGCAAUGUAAGAUUCUAUUGUUGCUCCAAAGAAACACUGGAGGCUAACUUGCACUCACCACAGCAUGAGCUGAAGGGGAUAGAGAAAAUUCACCCAGCAAAGGAGCCAUCUCAUUUAAUUUCUUAGAAGAAAAUGAAAGAAUUUAAGGAGUCUUCACAGCAUGAACUAAAAGGGAUGUGGGAUCAUCUUCAUCCAUUAAUGGAGCCUUCUCAUUUAACAUCUCAGAAGACAAAGAAGGAUUUUGAUGAGCCGCAAAAGAGGGCUCUGUAAUAGCAUCAGCUACCUGAGAGGGUUUUUAAUACAUGUAGAUUCCUACAAAGAACCUAGGACAAUUAAAUGGUGGGGAAGAACAUCUCUCUACCAAGAUGCUUGGCUAGCAGAUUUCUGUGAGGCUAGAACAGUCUACAGCAACAUGCCCCAUUUGAUAGCACCCGCAAGUGCAACAAGAUAAAGCAAGACCUUCAUAAUCCAAGAGCUGAGCACAAUAUAUGCUGUUAGGUCUUUCAAAAUGUCUAGCUCAACAGCUGUUCUUUUUGGACUUUUAGUACCAUAUUCGGCACUAGUGUCUUGUCUGUAAUCUUUUGCUCGUAUUGCUGAUCUAGUUGUAUCAGCCGGACUUGGUGCAUAGCACCAUAUAUCGUACCUGCUCUAUUGGUUUUCUUGGUAAUCGAUCUCUAAUUAAAAAAAAAAACCUAGAUCAACCUGAAUCUUCCUAGGGAGUUUUCAAUCGGUGCCAAGCAAGAGUCAAUCCAAUUUACUGAGCAUCAACUGAGAAACAUACACAACUAAAUUGAGACUAUCUUAUACGAAGAUGAUGGACAAACCCUGUUUCAUUAUAUGUUGAUUAAACUCUACCAUAAACUUAUCUUGUUCCGUUUAGAAUUCAUUUUUGUUUUCUAAUGUGGAGAUGCAUAAUAUUUUUCAUAUCAAAGGCUUUUAGGAUGUUACAGAAGGGCAUUAAUAACACUGCGUAAAAACUGAUUUGCAGGUUGAGAAAGCAUUAGGGAAAAUUUGAGAGUUCUAUGUAACUAAUUUAUACUAAUUUAAGCGGUAAUCUGAAAUACCAUGAAUGCAGUAAGUGUCAAUAGUAAAUUCACUACAAAGUUAAUGGAAUUAAAUAAAACGCAGUAUUCAAAGGUUCCAUCAAUAAUAAUACUGUUCAAGAUGUGAAAUUCUUACAAUUAUUCUAAUUUAUGAGGCUGAUUUGGGCGGAGUAUAAUUACAUUUGACUCAGUAGAAACAAUAGAGACAUAGGUGGAAGCAAUCAUCAGUGGAAGUAGAUCUAUUGGGUUCAAGUUUGUCCAAAUUCAUAUCCAUAUUUCUUCUUUGAUGCCAUGGUUUCCAACAUGCAUACUAAUUGCAAAAUUAGAUUGAAAAGAGCUAUGCUUCUGUGGAUGUUGGAACUUCCUGAGCGUGAUGCUGUUUUAGCACACAAAGGCAUUAAAAAGUGGAGUUCAAAAGACUGUUCUGGUAGAAAUUUUCUGCUCUCGAUCUCCAAGUGAACUGUUGCUGGUGAGAAAAGCAUAUCAUCUGAAGUAUAAAAAAUCUUUGGAAGAGGACAUUGCUUCACAUACAAGUGGGGAUUUCGAGAAGGUAUCCUAGUACCAUGUUGCCAUUAAUUCUUCAUGUCAAACCUAACUUCCAUUAAUGAAAUUGAACAUGAAGAGUUUCUAAGGCUUAAGAAAGAUAUAACUCUUAUGGUAAUGUUAUUUGGCAGAAAUGAGUUGGAUUUUGUAUAUGUUUGUAAACAUUAUGGAUUGUGGAGGCUUGAAUUCUUUACUUUUGUAUAUGUUUGUCAAUAUAAUAUUUUAAUGAUAUCAGUUUUCCACAAUCCUUAAUGUUCCAUGCUGCUGUUUCUAGAUUUGAUCAUAGUAACAUGUUGUCAUAACUUUAUUCCUGAACGGUUAUAUAGCUGUGAUGGUCUAAGUUGUAUAAUAAAUAUAUGAUGCAUUUGACAUCUUGAAAAUCCUAGCAUGAUACAAAUUCCACAAGUGUCUGUAAAUAUAUAUUAUCUAAUCUCUCAGUUAAAAUCAUAAGCACUUGUACUAUUUGCUGAUGCAAUUAAGA
Molecule: RNA transcript, 8120 nt
Organism: Cryptomeria japonica (Japanese cedar)
Lineage: Eukaryota; Viridiplantae; Streptophyta; Pinopsida; Cupressales; Cupressaceae
Exons: 2
Source: RefSeq, a predicted model, not a curated record